RNAcentral lists this small nucleolar RNA (114 nucleotides) under Zygosaccharomyces rouxii. RNAcentral describes it as "snR66". It matches the Rfam family "Small nucleolar RNA snR66". Rfam says of the family: snR66 is a member of the C/D class of snoRNA which contain the C (UGAUGA) and D (CUGA) box motifs. Most of the members of the box C/D family function in directing site-specific 2'-O-methylation of substrate RNAs. The record is from RNAcentral. Lineage: Eukaryota; Fungi; Ascomycota; Saccharomycetes; Saccharomycetales; Saccharomycetaceae.
AAAUUCGAUAAAUGAUGAAAGAUCAAUUGCAACAUAGAGUCAAGCUCUGAGCCCUCAACUCGCUAGAUGGCACGGAAGAGACUUGCUUAUUUAAAAUCUGAUAUUAUUAAAUUU